GAAAUGCGAUAAGUAGUGUAAAUUGCAGAAUUCUAUAAAUUAUUAAAUCUUUAAACGCACAUUGCGCCCUUUAGUAGGUCUAUUAGGCAUGCCUAUUUAAGCGUUAUUUCCUUUUAAUCUUAAGUACUACUUAGUAAUAGGCGCUUGUCCCGCCUUGCUGCGCGCGGACUCGCCUUAAAACUAUUAGCGGCUAGCAUCCGUUUUUUGUACGUAGUAUACUACGCAAGUAGAAUUAAAAAGCCCGGCGUCUACAAAAAAGACCCCUAAGAUUAACUUUAGAUUAGGUAAGAAUACUUGCUAAACUUAA
RNAcentral lists this unclassified non-coding RNA (307 nucleotides) under uncultured Glomeraceae. Its description in RNAcentral is "sequence contains ITS1". The stretch from base 1 to 106 matches the Rfam family "5.8S ribosomal RNA", at positions 50 to 154 of the family's 154-position model. The record is from RNAcentral. Lineage: Eukaryota; Fungi; Glomeromycota; Glomeromycetes; Glomerales; Glomeraceae.